GUGCCAGCCGCCGCGGUAAUACGGAAGGUCCGAGCGUUAUCCGGAUUUAUUGGGUUUAAAGGGAGCGCAGCGGAGAGGCAAGCCAGCCGUAAAAUCGUUGAGCUCAACUCAAUCUCGCGGUUGGAACUGCUUCCCUUGAGUGCACGAGAGGAUGGUGGAAUUCGUGGUGUAGCGGUGAAAUGCAUAGAUAUCACGAAGAACUCCGAUUGCGAAGGCAGCCAUCUGGCGUGUUACUGACGCUCAUGCUCGAAGGCGCGGGUAUCAAACAGGAUUAGAUACCCUGGUAGUCCGCGCAGUAAACGAUGAAUGCUCGCGAUGUGGUAGUUAUAUUGCGUCGCCAAGCGAAAGCGUUAAGCAUUCCACCUGGGGAGUACGCCGGCAACGGUGAAACUCAAAGGAAUUGACGGGGGCCCGCACAAGCGGAGGAACAUGUGGUUUAAUUCGAUGAUACGCGAGGAACCUUACCCGGGCUUGAAAUGUGACCGACAGACCCAGAGACGGGUCCCUCCUUCGGGCGGUCAUGUAGGUGCUGCAUGGUUGUCGUCAGCUCGUGCCGUGAGUGUCGGCUUAAGUGCCAUAACGAGCGCAACCCCUCCCGCCGGUUACCAUCAAGUUAAGUUGGGGACUCCGGCGGCACUGCACCGCAAGGUGCGAGGAAGGCGGGGAUGACGUCAAAUCAGCACGGCCCUUACGUCCGGGGCCACACACGUGUUACAAUGGGGGGCACAGAGAGUGGCGCAUGGGCAUGCGUCGAAUCAGUAAAUCCCCUCCCAGUUCGGACUGGAGUCUGCAACCCGACUCCACGAAGCUGGAUUCGCUAGUAAUCGCGCAUCAGCCAUGGCGCGGUGAAUACGUUCCCGGGCCUUGUACACACCGCCCGU
RNAcentral lists this ribosomal RNA (881 nucleotides) under uncultured bacterium. Its description in RNAcentral is "bacterial SSU rRNA". It matches the Rfam family "Bacterial small subunit ribosomal RNA", at positions 505 to 1397 of the family's 1533-position model. The record is from RNAcentral.